Molecule: ribosomal RNA, 424 nt
Filed under: uncultured bacterium
Lineage: Bacteria
Description: partial 16S ribosomal RNA
Rfam family: Bacterial small subunit ribosomal RNA
Source: RNAcentral
GUGGGGAAUCUUAGACAAUGGGGGAAACCCUGAUCUAGCCAUGCCGCGUGAGCGAUGAAGGCCUUAGGGUUGUAAAGCUCUUUCAGCUGGGAAGAUAAUGACGGUACCAGCAGAAGAAGCCCCGGCUAACUCCGUGCCAGCAGCCGCGGUAAUACGGAGGGGGCUAGCGUUGUUCGGAAUUACUGGGCGUAAAGCGCGCGUAGGCGGACCAGAAAGUUGGAGGUGAAAUCCCAGGGCUCAACCUUGGAACGGCCUUCAAAACUCCUGGUCUGGAGUUCGAGAGAGGUGAGUGGAAUUCCGAGUGUAGAGGUGAAAUUCGUAGAUAUUCGGAGGAACACCGUGGCGAAGGCGGCUCACUGGCUCGAUACUGACGCUGAGGUGCGAAAGCGUGGGGAGCAAACAGGAUUAGAAACCCGGGUAGUCC